Long non-coding RNA from Hyla sarda, 471 nucleotides. RefSeq lists it as uncharacterized. NCBI's taxonomy places the organism in Eukaryota, Metazoa, Chordata, Amphibia, Anura, Hylidae. The transcript has 3 exons. The record is from RefSeq and is a predicted model, not a curated record.
CUCAGAGCUCCACGAGGCUGCUCCUGAAGAUAAAGGAAGAGGCUUCUUACAAUAAAAGAGGUCACUACAACCCUAGAGGAAUGGGUUCUUAUGAAGUCCUGAGGAUCCAGCGACUUUAAUCCAUCUGCUUAUGGUGGAGUUGGAGAGCGGCGCAUGAAGAAACACACUGGACAUGAGGAACGCUGUCGGGAGACUUUUUAUUUACUUUUCUCUACAUAGCCACAACAUCUGAGCACCCUUUGAUGCCCGAAUAAACACGCAGACAGCCAGGAACAAAGAUGGGCAAGUGGAUGCCUGGAUGACCCAAACAAGUGAGCGGACCGAUAUGCUGUCGCUCGGAUGGUUGCCCACCGGGACUGACACUAGAUCGGACCGGAAACGGUGCAAAUGCCAUUGCACUGCACCCCGUACAGCGUUUCCACAAGUUCCGGUGUGCGCCACAUGUGCCAGAACUCCUCCUCCGCUGGAAGG